UACGAAGGGUGCAAGCGUUAAUCGGAAUUACUGGGCGUAAAGCGUGCGUAGGCGGUUUGUUAAGUCCGAUGUGAAAGCCCUGGGCUCAACCUGGGAAUGGCAUUGGAUACUGGCAGGCUAGAGUGCGGUAGAGGGGUGCGGAAUUCCCGGUGUAGCGGUGAAAUGCGUAGAGAUCGGGAGGAACAUCCGUGGCGAAGGCGGCACCCUGGACCAGCACUGACGCUGAGGCACGAAAGCGUGGGGAG
Molecule: ribosomal RNA, 245 nt
Filed under: uncultured Lysobacteraceae bacterium
Lineage: Bacteria; Pseudomonadati; Pseudomonadota; Gammaproteobacteria; Lysobacterales; Lysobacteraceae
Description: uncultured Xanthomonadaceae bacterium partial 16S ribosomal RNA
Rfam family: Bacterial small subunit ribosomal RNA
Source: RNAcentral